GCUUGCCUCCACAAGUAAGGUGACCAGAUUACAUGAACAAAAUAUUGGGACACAUAGGGGGCAGGUCCGGAGCGCCGCCGAAGCAAAUAUAUAAGCCAGAAUAUGGGACAAAUGGCUUCCCGACCAUACAUCCAUCGGGACGUGGGACAAACGACUGAAUAUCGGGACGUCUAGUCACCCUA
This is a long non-coding RNA of Gopherus evgoodei (Goodes thornscrub tortoise), 182 nucleotides long. RefSeq lists it as uncharacterized. The record is from RefSeq and is a predicted model, not a curated record. The transcript is spliced from 3 exons. NCBI's taxonomy places the organism in Eukaryota, Metazoa, Chordata, Testudines, Testudinidae.